AUCCAGCUGACGAGUCCCAAAUAGGAAGAAACAGGCGUUCUAGAU
Non-coding RNA from Schistosoma curassoni, 45 nucleotides. NCBI's taxonomy places the organism in Eukaryota, Metazoa, Platyhelminthes, Trematoda, Strigeidida, Schistosomatidae. The record is from Rfam.